GAAGUUGUUGGCGCGAAUGGAUCCUGAGCCCCGAUAACGGAUUCCUCAACCGGCCCGCCCGCCAGCCAGCCAGCGCCUUCAUCCUGGGGCUGCGAUGGACAUUCGGAAAUUCUUUGGAGUAAUACCAAGUGGAAAGAAACUUGUAAGUGAAACAGUAAAGAAGAAUGAGAAAACAAAGUCUGAUGAAGAAACUUUAAAAGCAAAGAAAGGAAUAAAGGAAAUCAAGGUAAAUAGCUCCCGUAAAGAGGAUGACUUCAAACAAAAGCAACCAAGCAAGAAAAAGAGGAUCAUCUAUGAUUCAGAUUCAGAGUCAGAGGAGACGUUGCCAGUAAAAAAUGCCAAAAAGCAACCAGAAAAACCGCCAGUAUCUUCUAAACCUGGUAAAAUUUCACGGCAGGAUCCUGUUACAUACAUUUCAGAAACAGAUGAAGAAGAUGACUUUAUGUGUAAGAAGGCGGCCUCUAAAUCAAAAGAGAAUGGAAGAUCUACAAAUAGUCAUCUUGGAACAUCAAACAUGAAAAAGAAUGAAGAAAACACUAAGACCAAGAAUAAGCCUUUAUCACCAAUAAAACUUACACCCACAUCAGUACUUGAUUAUUUUGGAACUGGAAGUGUCCAAAGAUCUAAUAAGAAGAUGGUGGCAAGCAAAAGAAAAGAGCUGGAGAGGCAGUUGCAUGAAGAUGAAGAGUUUGCCAGAACAUUAGCCAUGUUGGAUGAAGAACCCAAGACCAAAAAGGUGGCAUAAUGUUGGGCUGUUUGCAAACAGUACAGAUCAGUGUUCAUACUUGCAUGUUCUAGGCUCUAGCCAAAACAUGAAUAACUUUUCCAGAAAGAAGUUAAAUUAUUUUGAUUUAUAAAAAUGUUUUUGG
This 869-nucleotide small RNA is filed under the name Pongo abelii (Sumatran orangutan). RNAcentral describes it as "retained intron". Lineage: Eukaryota; Metazoa; Chordata; Mammalia; Primates; Hominidae. The record is from RNAcentral.